UACGUAGGGCCCAAGCGUUGUUCGGCUUUACUGGGCGUAAAGGGCGCGUAGGCGGCAAAUUAAGUCAGCUGUGAAAUCUCCGAGCUUAACUCGGAACUGUCAGCUGAUACUGAUGUGCUAGAGUGCGGAAGGGGCAAUCGGAAUUCUUGGUGUAGCGGUGAAAUGCGUAGAUAUCAAGAGGAACACCUGAGGUGAAGACGGGUUGCUGGGCCGACACUGACGCUGAGUGCGCGAAAGCCAGGGGAGCAAACGGG
This 254-nucleotide ribosomal RNA is filed under the name uncultured bacterium. RNAcentral describes it as "partial 16S ribosomal RNA". It matches the Rfam family "Bacterial small subunit ribosomal RNA", at positions 524 to 776 of the family's 1533-position model. The record is from RNAcentral.